This 243-nucleotide long non-coding RNA is filed under the name Mytilus galloprovincialis (Mediterranean mussel). Lineage: Eukaryota; Metazoa; Mollusca; Bivalvia; Mytilida; Mytilidae. The record is from RNAcentral.
CUUUGAUUUUUUUUUUUUUUUAUGCCCCACCUACAAUAGUAGAGGGGCAUUAUGUUUUCUGGUCUGUGCCUCCGUUCGUUCGUCCGUUCGUUCGUCCCGCUUCAGGUUAAAGUUUUUGGUCGAGGUAGUUUUUGAUGAAGUUGAAGUCCAAUCAAUUUGAAACUUAGUACACAUGUUCCCUAUGAUAUGACCUUUCUAAUUUUAAUGUCAAAUUAAAGUAUUGACCCCAAUUUCAUGGUCCAC